Molecule: non-coding RNA, 2960 nt
Organism: Misgurnus anguillicaudatus (oriental weatherfish)
Lineage: Eukaryota; Metazoa; Chordata; Actinopteri; Cypriniformes; Cobitidae
Source: RefSeq, a predicted model, not a curated record
UGAGAAGUAGUCCAAACCCUGUGAUAAAUGGAGAAAAAGUGAUAUUAAGCUGUUCAACUAAAUGCACUCUGGAUAACAAACAUACUUACAUCUGGUAUAAGAAUGGACAACAGGUAACAGAUGGAUUGACAUUAUUAAACAAGUUGUACCUGGACUCAAUCAACAGUGAGGAGCUACAAGAGUAUUCCUGUACUGUAAGAGAAUCAAUGGACAAAACCAAUGAAACAAUUGACAGAAACAAUGAAGAAAUGGACAAAGCCACUGAAGCAGUAGUGUACAGUUCAGUGUUUGUUCCUCUGUUGGUGUUUCUGCCUCAGUUUCUCAUUAUAGGAGCUGUAUGGAUCUGGUUUUUCAUCAGAAUGAAUAAAUUGAACUGUAAAAACAAAACUGAUGACAAAGAAAUCGAGGUGAGAAAAUCUGUAUAUCUGUAUGUUAAAUAAACUAAUGGUCAGAUUUUAUAACAUUAUCUCUUUCUAUAGGCCAGUUUAGACUGAUCCAACAACAAACUCCAACAUUAUAAAGUCUCAUUUAUUGAUCCAACAACUGCCAACACAGGUUUCACACUGACCCAACAAACACAUUUGUUGACGUUUGUUGGAUCAGUGUGAAUUGGCCUUUAGUAAUUAUCAUUGUCAGACUCCAGUGAUGUGCAUGUCUGUGUGUAGAUCAGCUGUCUGUCCAUUAGAACUGCUGGAGUGAUGUCACAACUCUCUUUAUGACAUCAUCAUCUAGCAACGGUCUCUCAGCAGUGACAUCAUUGAUGUUAUAUAGAGUGACAUAUUAAUAAUAAUUGAAUAAUUGAAUGCCCAAAUUAAGGCUGGAAAUUUAAUGCGUUAAAGGUGGGGUGCAUGAUCUCUGAAAGCCAAUGUUGACAUUUGAAAUCACCUAAACAAACACGCUCCUACACCAAUAAAAUCUGGACCUUAUAGACCCGCCCACACCUACGCAACCCAGGCAAUGAUGUUGGUUAGUAGACACGCCCCUUACUGCUGAUUGGCUACAAGUGUGUCCCUUUUCCAAAGUGUUUCAAAAAUCAUGCAACACGCCUUUAAUAAGAUUUAUUAUUAUGGGGGAAAAUAAAGUGUUUUAACGCACCCAAUCAUGUCAGCAUAGUCACAAAAGUUGAUCAUUUCAUAUGCUUUAAAAACAUGUUUAUAUAACCUCAAAUCACAUAAUUUUUUACAGUGUAUGCAGGAUUAUUUUACAUUUUGAUUAAUUAAUUUAAUUUCUGUAUACUUUAAAUUACAGUCUCCAUGUACAUACCAAUAUUUAUGUGUGAUUAAUUAGAUUAAUUAAUCAGCAUGUAAUUAAUUAUACAUAAAAAAAAUUAUCGUUUGACAGCCCUAGCUUUAAUACAUGAAUUAUUCAUUAAACAAUUUAAUUUCUCAUAACAGUCUUGUGUCAGUGUAGGUUAAACUGUAAGAAAGUCUAAAUCUUACAAAAUCAUUGUAAUAGAUCUAUAAAACAAUGAGAUGAUUGAUAGAUCAGAGUAGAAAAAUGUGUGUUUUAUUUUUAUUAUUUUUCACAUUAUUCAAUUUAUUAAUUCAAUUAUAUAUACUAACUCUUACUUAUUUUUAUUAUAUAUUCAUUCAUUUAUUUUAUCAUUCAGUUUUCUUCUUUUUAUUAUAUAUUCAGAUACAUGGCUUCAUUGAUUAUAAUACCAUCAGAUAAAAAAGUAAAAACCUGACUUGCUCUGCUAGAAAUCUUAUAAUGGGUCAAAACAAAUAUCAAAAUCAACAAAAAAAUGGGUCUGGAAAAAUUCUGUAUAGAGGAAUAAGCUAUAAUCACUUUCCAUUAAUUAUUCAACUUCAUCAGACAUUAUAAUACAAGACUCAGAGCUGUUAUCAUCACAAAUUGAGGUGUCAAUAUUUGAGUCCAGUGUGUAAUAGAAAAAAAUCAUUUAUCACUUUUAAUUGUUUUAUUUUAAUGAAACAUAUCUUUGUGAUUUUUUUAUACAUAUAUAGUUUGUAUUAUAUUCAUUUAAUUCUGUUCUUCAUUACUUUUCUCAAUGUUGUUUAAUCUUUUGUUGGCGCUUUUAGUGUGAGUCUCCAAUGACCUCCAUCUCAAAGUUUUUCCUAAUGUCAUGAGACAAUAUUUUACAUGAUAUAAUAAUGAAUCUGUGUCUAGUCAGAGGAAGACUGAGCAUUGAAGCACAACUGAGAUUAUUUAAUAAAUGAUUUUUCAUUUUAUUCAACAAUACUUCGUCUCCUGCCUGCUGUUUUUCUGCUUCAUCUCUGUGUCUGCCUCGUGAUUUAUUUGAAGUAUUAACUCACAACAGAGUUGAUAUUUCAGCACAGAUUUAGAGAGAUCUAGUGAACUGAACUGUAGUUGGAUCUAUAAGAUCUGCAAGCCUUAGUUGAAUCUCUGAAGAUUGAGCUUUAACUUUAUGAAUGUUUGAAUUCCUCAUUUAACUGUAGAUAUAUAAGCACUUAAAGAAAAAAAAUCAUGAAUUAAUGUAGAUGUGUCAUUAGAUGAAAAUGCAGUCCUUUUUAUGUCGUAAAAUUGCAUAUUCUGAAGGCAGACACAAAUGUACACAAAUACACAUUUUAUAUAUACUCUAUAUUGAAGAAAGAAUUUAAGAAAUGUUGGUGAAAAGGUUAUUGAGCUCUCAUCUAUUGAUCCUGAUGCUUCAAAGAGUAAUUUAAGAUCUAGAAAUAUCUAUAUUUGUUUUCUGAGAGGUUUUUAUGAUCCAUCAUGAUGCCAAUGUGAACAAUUCUACAUCAAUGCAUAAAAAUAAACAAAGUGACUUUUAAAAAACAAAAUAAAGUGCUGGAAUUAAUUGAUCAAAAUUGAAAUUUAAUGAUACUGAUGUGAUUGCUAAAAGCCCACUGGCACUGACACUGUGUCCCCCUCUGUGCAGGAGGCAUAGCCCCCCAUAUAUUUACUUUUUUUUCUAAUUAAGCUACAACUUUGCACAAAUGAAAUUCAUAUUACCUCAGGGACCAAACACCUGACAGCCU